Molecule: ribosomal RNA, 423 nt
Filed under: uncultured bacterium
Lineage: Bacteria
Description: bacterial SSU rRNA
Rfam family: Bacterial small subunit ribosomal RNA
Source: RNAcentral
UGAGGAAUAUUGGUCAAUGGGCGGAAGCCUGAACCAGCCAUCCCGCGUGAAGGAAGAAGGCCUUAUGGGUUGUAAACUUCUUUUCUGUUUGAGGAAUAAGCUUGUCGAGACAAGUGAUGCCGGUAGGACAGGAAUAAGCAUCGGCUAACUCCGUGCCAGCAGCCGCGGUAAUACGGAGGAUGCAAGCGUUAUCCGGAUUUAUUGGGUUUAAAGGGUGCGCAGGUGGUUUAAUAAGUCAGUGGUGAAAGUCUGCCGCUUAACGGUAGGAUUGCCAUUGAUACUGUUGGACUUGUAUAUGGAUGAGGUAGGCGGAAUGUGUAGUGUAGCGGUGAAAUGCUUAGAUAUUACACAGAACACCGAUUGCGAAGGCAGCUUACUAAUCCAUGAUUGACGCUGAGGCACGAAAGCGUGGGGAUCAAACAG